Molecule: ribosomal RNA, 446 nt
Filed under: uncultured bacterium
Lineage: Bacteria
Description: partial 16S ribosomal RNA
Rfam family: Bacterial small subunit ribosomal RNA
Source: RNAcentral
CCUACGGGAGGCAGCAGUCGAGAAUCAUUCACAAUGGGGGAAACCCUGAUGGUGCGACGCCGCGUGGGGGAAUGAAGUUCUUCGGAUUGUAAACCCCUGUCAUGUGGGAGCAAAUUAAAAAGAUAGUACCACAAGAGGAAGAGACGGCUAACUCUGUGCCAGCAGCCGCGGUAAUACAGAGGUCUCAAGCGUUGUUCGGAAUCACUGGGCGUAAGGCGUGCGUAGGCUGUUUCGUAAGUCGUGUGUGAAAGGCGCGGGCUCACCCCGCGGACGGCACAUGUUACUGCGAGACUAGAGUAAUGGAGGGGGAACCGGAAUUCUCGGUGUAGCAGUGAAAUGCGUAGAUAUCGAGAGGAACACUCGUGGCGAAGGCGGGUUCGUGGACAUUAACUGACGCUGAGGCACGAAGGCCAGGGGAGCGAAAGGGAUUAGAUACCCUGGUAGUC